RNAcentral lists this unclassified non-coding RNA (394 nucleotides) under soil metagenome. RNAcentral's name for it is "partial contains 5.8S ribosomal RNA, internal transcribed spacer 2, and large subunit ribosomal RNA". The stretch from base 1 to 122 matches the Rfam family "5.8S ribosomal RNA", at positions 35 to 154 of the family's 154-position model. The record is from RNAcentral.
GAUGAAGAACGCAGCGAAAUGCGAUACUUGGUGUGAAUUGCAGAAUCCCGUGAACCAUCGAGUCUUUGAACGCAAGUUGCGCCCGAAGCCAUCAGGUUGAGGGCACGUCUGCCUGGGCGUCACAUAUCGUUGCCCAAUGCCUAUUGCAGUGCAAUAGGAAUUUCUAGGGCGAAUGAUGGCUUCCCGUGAGCGUUGUUGCCUCGCGGUUGGUUGAAAAUCGAGUCCUUGGUAGGGUGUGCCAUGGUAGAUGGUGGUCGAGUUAGAACGAUACCGAUCAUGUGCAUGCUCCCCAAAAUAUGGCCUCUAUGACCCACACGCGUCUUUUGACGCUCAUGACGAGACCUCAGGUCAGGCGGGGCUACCCGCUGAAUUUAAGCAUAUCAAUAAGCGGAGA